Conger conger (European conger) is the source of this 1415-nucleotide long non-coding RNA. RefSeq lists it as uncharacterized. The record is from RefSeq and is a predicted model, not a curated record. The transcript is spliced from 3 exons. Lineage: Eukaryota; Metazoa; Chordata; Actinopteri; Anguilliformes; Congridae.
AUGGCAGUAAGCUGUGCUUAGUAUGCAAUCGAAAGUCAAGUUUGAGGAACUCCUGCCUGAUUUUCAACAGAACAGCCAAUUGAAUAGUUUGGCCAGGUUGGUCCUGCACUUGGAUGUACACACUUUUCACCACAAUUUCAAGGUUUAUUCAUUUGCGUUGACAUGGAUUUCAGCGAUUUCAACGUUCACAUAAUUGAUCUGCAAGUGUGAUGUUAAUGCACGAGGCCCGGGGUUUUCAACUAGUGUCUGGUUUUUGCAAGGCUGCAUGAACUCGAGCCAAGCUGUGUACUCUUCCUGAUCUCUAAAAGGGGAUCACUGAAAACAAGAUUGUGUCAGGCAGUGUUUCUCAUGACCCCAAUACAAUGUUUGCCCUGAGCCAGCUGAGUCACGCCCACUCCCAGAAUUCCCUGCACCGCAGUGUCAGUCAACUCAUUGACACACAGGACAGGAAGUUUCUGAUGGAUGAUGGGAUAUGGAGCCCUGUUGUACGGGGUCAUGAUAGUGGCCUGUUUAUGGAUGAUGAGGAAUUUGUGGACACAAUCAAAGGGUUCAGCACAGUGCGAAAGGAGCACACCAUGUUUACAGAUACAAACUUGUAACCGCUGUAACCCCUCAGGCUUCUAUGUACAUUUGUCAUGACAAAGACCACUUUUGUGAGAUGACCCAACCAGCCCAGCAAGAGAUGACCCACUACAAAUAACAUCUGGAUCUCGGUCAUCAUGUUUAAUUCGCCCAUUUUUGUUCAGUAAUAUGGAGCAUCUUUUACAUAUUGUUUUGGAGCCAUUUAAAACCGACUGGGCUGGUAUGAAGGCUCAUGAAACAAAAAGACCAAUUGAAGCUUUGUGGUUGAUAUAAAUGCUAUGGUUGUUAGAAAAAAGCACCUAUGCGUAGUUGUUUAGCAGGGAGUCAUAUGAAAUACUUCAGAGAAGGCUGUAAUGCAAUUGCAUGAUAGGAAAUAUGGACUGAACCUGGCUCCAACAAACAAUUAUUGUCAUGCAAGAACCACAAAAAUAUUUGUUCUUAAAUUACUCAUAAGAAUACAUUCACCAAUUUUCACUUAUUUAGAAUUUGUCUUUGGAACAAAAAAAGUGGUCCCGACCUACACCCAAAAUAUGUAGUCUUUCGCUUAGACUAAUAGAUGGUAUACACUCACCGAGCACUUCAUUAGGAACAUUUUUACUUUAUUACACCUCCUUAUUAAUGCAAUUAUCUAAUCAGCCAAUUGUAUGGCAGCAGUGCAAUGAAUACAAUCAUGUAGAUACGGAUCAGGAGCUUCAGUUAAUGUUCACAUCAACCAUCAGAAUGGGAAAAGAUUUUGAUUUAAGUGACCGUGGAAUGAUUGUUGGUGGCAGACAGGGUGGUUUGACUAUCUCAAAAACAGCUGAUCUCCUGGGAUUUUUACGCACACCAGUCUC